This 446-nucleotide ribosomal RNA is filed under the name uncultured Teratosphaeriaceae. RNAcentral describes it as "eukaryotic LSU rRNA". The stretch from base 113 to 269 matches the Rfam family "5.8S ribosomal RNA". Lineage: Eukaryota; Fungi; Ascomycota; Dothideomycetes; Mycosphaerellales; Teratosphaeriaceae. The record is from RNAcentral.
AUGUUUUCCGACUCUGUUGCCUCGGGGGCGACCCGGCCUUCGGGUGUCGGGGCCCCCGGUGGUCCACAUCAACUCUGCAUCUGUGCGUCUGAGUAGAUAUUAAAUCAAUCAAAACUUUCAACAACGGAUCUCUUAGGUUCUGGCAUCGAUGAAGAACGCAGCGAAAUAGCGAUAAGUAAUAGUGAAUUGCAGAAUUCAGUGAAUCAUCGAAUCUUUGAACGCACAUUGCGCCCCUCGGUAUUCCGGGGGGCAUGCCUGUUCGAGCGUCAUUACACCACUCAAGCCUCGCUUGGUCUUGGGCGUCUCGCGGUCCGCCGCGCGCCCUAAUGUCUCCGGCUGAGCCAUCUUGUCUCGAAGCGUUGUGAUCUAUCAAAUCGCUUGCGGGAUGGGUGGCCUCGGGCCGUUAAACCCCCCAAUUUUUACAGGUUGACCUCGGAUCAGGUAGG